UACGUAGGGUGCGAGCGUUAAUCGGAAUUACUGGGCGUAAAGCGUGCGCAGGCGGUUAUGUAAGACAGAUGUGAAAUCCCCGGGCUCAACCUGGGAACUGCAUUUGGGACUGCAAGGCUGGAGUGUGGCAGAGGAGACUGGAAUUCCUGGUGUAGCAGUGAAAUGCGUAGAUAUCAGGAGGAAUACCGAUGGCGAAGGCAGGUCUCUGGGCUGACACUGACGCUCAUGCACGAAAGCGUGGGGAGCAAACAGG
This 253-nucleotide ribosomal RNA is filed under the name uncultured bacterium. RNAcentral's name for it is "partial 16S ribosomal RNA". It matches the Rfam family "Bacterial small subunit ribosomal RNA", at positions 524 to 776 of the family's 1533-position model. The record is from RNAcentral.